RNAcentral lists this ribosomal RNA (242 nucleotides) under uncultured bacterium. RNAcentral describes it as "partial 16S ribosomal RNA". It matches the Rfam family "Bacterial small subunit ribosomal RNA", at positions 917 to 1500 of the family's 1533-position model. The record is from RNAcentral.
GGGCCCGGCACAAGCAGUGGAGUAUGUGGAUUAAUUCGAAGCAACGCGAAGAACCUUACCAGGUCUUGACAUCGUAUGCAUAACUCAGAGAUGAGAGAAAUCCCUUCGGGGACUUCCCGGGCCUUGUACACACCGCCCGUCACACCAUGGGAGCCGGUAAUACCCGAAGUCAGUAGUCCAACCUCGUGAGGACGCUGCCGAAGGUAGGAUUGGCGACUGGGGUGAAGUCGUAACAAGGUAUC